RNAcentral lists this ribosomal RNA (160 nucleotides) under uncultured Bacillaceae bacterium. RNAcentral describes it as "partial 16S ribosomal RNA". It matches the Rfam family "Bacterial small subunit ribosomal RNA", at positions 355 to 507 of the family's 1533-position model. Lineage: Bacteria; Bacillati; Bacillota; Bacilli; Caryophanales; Bacillaceae. The record is from RNAcentral.
UAGGGAAUCUUCCGCAAUGGACGAAAGUCUGACGGAGCAACGCCGCGUGAGUGAUGAAGGUUUUCGGAUGGUAAAACUCUGUUGUUAGGGAAGAACAAGUACCGGAGUAACGGCCGGUACCUUGACGGUACCUAACCAGAAAGCCACGGCUAACUACGUG